RNAcentral lists this long non-coding RNA (3732 nucleotides) under Ananas comosus (pineapple). RNAcentral's name for it is "long non-coding RNA (ACOM_LNC030081)". The record is from RNAcentral. Lineage: Eukaryota; Viridiplantae; Streptophyta; Magnoliopsida; Poales; Bromeliaceae.
CCCCACUCACUCUCUCUCUCUCUCUCUCUCUCUCUCUCUCUCUCUCUAGAGCUCGGAGAGCAACAACAAUGGCGGAUUGGGCGCCGGUGGUGGUGGGGGUGGUGCUCUUCGUGCUCCUCUCGCCGGGCCUCCUCAUCGAGUUCCCCGGCUCCCGCCGCCCCCUCGACUUCGGCGGCUUCCGCACCAACGGUAAGGCCGUCUUCUUCCACACCCUCAUCUUCUUCGCCCUCUUCUCCAUCCUCAUCGUCGCCCUCCACCUCCACAUCUACACCGGCUAGGGUUAGGGUUUCUCUUCCCCCCGGGGAGCGAUCGCCGUGGGUUUAGGGUUUCGAGGUGGGAGAUCUCUCUCUCUCUCUCUCUCUCUCUCUCUGGGUUGUUGUGAUGUUGUUGUUUAUGUGAUUUUUGUGGCAUUUAAUCUAAAAAUAGUAAUUAAAGAGACGAGACUCGUUUUGUGAUGAUGCUGUGAAAUAUCAUCUUAUGCAUCUAAUUUUCAAAUUUUAGCUUUUUAUUUGAAUUUUGAAUUUGAUGUUUGUGGUUUAUUAGGUAAUAGAAUUUAAAUUAGUUAUAGCAUAUUAUAAAUAGCUUAUAAAUACUUCUCUAAUAUUUAACUGUGAAUAUAUUAUGUGACAUAUAUUUUAAAAUUGGAUUAAUUUCAUAUGAGUCCCUGCAAAUAUAGUGAAUAAUAAAUAUAUUCCUAAUAAGUUCAACUUUCAUAUGUUGUCCUUAAUAUUUUCAAAUAUAUUCCUGGCGCCGUUAGAAUCUGUUAGAAAAAUUUAGUUAAUCAUAGGUUAAAUACUUAAUCCUGAUUAAUUUUUGACAUUUUUAUUUCUUUUAUAUUAUACUGUUAUGAUAUUUGAAGAGAUAUAUUUAUGACGGCAAAAUUGAAAAUAUAAAUAGUUCUUUAACGGUUCUCUAACGAUAACAAAUCAGAGGGACGUAUUUGAAAAUAUCAAAAUUUUUUUAGGAACAAUAUAUAAAAGUUAAAUUUUGUAAGGAUAAUAUAUUUGUAGUGACCUUUAUGAAAUUAACCCUUUAAAAUUUGUAAGGAUAACUGCAUACAACUUUCUGUAAACAUAUCGAAUAACAAAUAUAUUUUUAUAAAGUUUAAUUUGUUAUUUAUAUUCCUGUAAGAGUACAGUGAUAUUCAUAUUUAUCCCUUUGGUUUGUUACUAUUAAAGUAUUUUUUUUUACAGCAGAUAUAUAAAAUGAUAUUUUUGUCUUUAUAAAUAUAUCACUCCAAAAGCUCCCACUGUUAAAAAUAUUUAGAAUUAUACAAAAAUGUCCUCUCAAAUAAGUAUUUUAUCCAAUAACAUAAGAGGGAUAAAAAAAUUAAUUUAACUUAUUUAUUAAUCAGUGUUAAGUUUUUUUUACUUAUGAUUAACUAUAUUUUUCUAACGAAUCUUAAUCGUAGGGAUAUAUUUGAAAACGUUGGAACUUUUUAGAGAUAAAAAUAAAAAAGUUGAACUUUUUAGUGAUAUAUUUUCUAUUUGAUAUGUUUACAGGAAGCUAUAUGCAAUUAAGGUUUAGUUUGGUAUUGAGACCCAUCUGAUACUAUUAGACAAAAUUGAGUUCGGAUAAAAGCAUAUAGGAAUAUGUUUUUGCAUUCUUUGGUGGGAUCGCAGAAAAUAUAUCGUAAUUGACUCAUCGCGAUAUGCGGAACGUAAAAUUACUUACGAAAAUAAAUAUAAUAUUUUUUUAUCGUACUUUUUGACUGUGCGUAAAGCAAUGGUAGGAUUUUUGUGGUUGUCCUUUGUUGAAAUGUCCAUAUGAACUUUAUAAUUGUGUGGUUUAGCCUGUUUAGUCAUGGAUCAAUGAUAGCAUGCUCUUUCUCAUUAAUUCUCAAAAUUUGACCUGUGACAAGUACAUUGAGUAUUAGUUCAUUUUUGUAUAAGAUUUUCAAUAAUACAGAAAAUUAGGAGUUUAAUUUUCUUUUCUCUUUAAAAGUUGGUGUCAUCUAUAAUUUGAUAGAAUGGUAUAUUUCUUAUUUUAUUUUAAAAAUAAUAAUAAUUUGAAGGUUGAACAUAAUAUCCAUUCUGAAUACUUAAUCCUACAUCUCACUUUUAAAAAUAUUUUUUUUUAGUUUUAAAUUUUUUUUAAAGAAAUUAUCAUCUAUCAUUUGGACAUGUGUAUUGCAAGCUAAUCAAUUAUUAUAGUAAGAGAGAUUUUUUUUUUAAUCAAUAUAUCAAAUUAUAUAUUAAUUAGUGUUUAAAAAAAUAAAAAAAAAUAUCAAUUGUGCCAAGCAAGUCCUUUUUUUUAUCUUAUUUAUGGCUGUUGAUAUAAUUCUAUUCCAUUUAUGUGAUUUAUUUAUCAACAUUUUGUGGCUUUGAGUUAUGUAAGCAUCUGAUUCCACAAAAUUGGGCCAGUUCCUGAAACAAAAGAUACUCGGGGUAUAUCUGCAAAUUGCAGUGAAUUUGAACAAAUAUUUGUAUUUCGUUAUCUAAAGUUUAAAAAAUUUUAAUUUAACAUCUAAACAAUCAAUAUGAAUUUCCGUGAAAUCCUCUAAACAGUGUUAACAAGUUGCAGAUGGUAGAUUUAAACUUUUCAAAUUUAUUUAUUUAUUUAUUUUUUUGAGAGAUAGAUAGCCCGUUACCUACUUGCUCUAGGAACGGUCGGUUUUUCAAAUUUCAAAUGAUGAAUUAUUUACGUGUGAAAAUUAGUUUCGAGGCUCUUGUUCCAGAAUCUAAUCGUAUAGUACGAUUAAAAUAUGCAUUACUCAUAAGUUCUUUGUGAAUCGUAACCGUUAACCAACUAUCUCAAAAGCACGUGCUGAUAGGAAUGACAUAUCCAUCAUACUUAAGGGCUCAGUCAUAGCGCUCGUGGGACCUUCACUCAACUUAUAUUAGGCUCACGUAAUUCAACUUAUUAGUUUUCUGAGCUUAUUGAUUUUGACCUAUUUCAAUCCAUCUGAAUGUUGGGUUUAUUAUUGGGCCUUUUGUUGUUAGGUCUUUUGUGGACUACACCUUCACUCAACUUAUUAGGCUCAUCCAACUCAACUUAUUAAUCUUCUAGGCCUAUUGUUACAGGGCAGGAUAUUGGACAUAUUUUAGCCCAAUAGCCAACAAUCCCUCCCAACACCUGCAUCGUUAAUGCAGCAUGUGGGAAUCGAACCCGCGCCAUCGAUUCUAAUACCACCUGUGGAUCGUAAGCAUUAACCAACUAUCUCGAAAGCACGUGCUGAUAAAAAGGUCGCACCCAUCGCAUUUAAAGGCUCAAUCACAGCGCUCGCGGGCUUCGGCCUGACUCAAUCCACCUAGACGUAGAGUCGAUUGUCGGGUUUCUUACCGUUAGGUCUUUUGUGGAUAACACAUCGAUUCAACUUAUUAGACUCAUCCAACUCAACUUAUUAAUCUCUCGGGCCUAUUGUCACGGGACAAGAUGUUGGACCUAUUUUUGUCCAAUAAUAAAUAGCCAACACUCUUCUGAGGGAUCAACACUAAGUUAGCUUCGGGAUCUGCUUUGGUGCCAUUAGAUAUAAUUUAAAGUAUUCAUAAGCAAAAGAAAUCGAGACAAUACAAAAUUCGAUGAUUUUUUAAACAAGAAGAUACAAAAGUAAUGUAGUUUCAUUUCAAAUUAAGAUUAUGAACACAAGAUUUGGUUUGAGUUCAAUUUGUAAUGCAACACUUACCAGAUGCAUCACUUGAAGAGAAGUUUACAACUAAAGGUCACCAAGGAUUAGAGGAAACUGAACAAUCUUAAGAUAUCAUCAGCCCGCGUGCACGUGAACGCCAAUCG